AUCCCAUGAUGAGGAUACUUAUGAAGUAAUUCUUUAAAUCUCUCCCAUACCUCGUACAAGGACUCAUCAUCCAAUUACUGGAAAGUGUUGAUCUCAUUUCGCAACUU
Small nucleolar RNA from Gossypium arboreum, 107 nucleotides. It matches the Rfam family "Plant small nucleolar RNA R71". From Rfam's summary of the family: R71 is a member of the C/D box family of snoRNAs containing the C (UGAUGA) and D (CUGA) box motifs. Multiple nearly identical copies of this snoRNA have been identified in Arabidopsis, and it is thought to function as a 2'-O-ribose methylation guide for 18S ribosomal RNA. NCBI's taxonomy places the organism in Eukaryota, Viridiplantae, Streptophyta, Magnoliopsida, Malvales, Malvaceae. The record is from Rfam.